AACGCACGUUGCGCUCUUUGGGACUACUGAAGAGCAUACCUGUUUGAGUAUCGAAAAGUGCACUGCUCACUUCUUUUGAAGGAGUGAGCAAGGAAUUGAGGUUUACCAUAUUUAUUGGGUAUUCCUUUAAAGGAAGAAAGGUAGAGAGACUUUGCAGGUCGCAAAAGUGAGAUAGAUAUCCCGCUGAGAGCGACAGGCUUGGAGUUGUAGCUGCCGAAAGUUUGAGGGUUGGGGGAAGGGUUGGUGAAGGGAAGGGUUGGUGGUGAAGGGUUGGUGAAGCCAACUCGGAGGCCAAAACUCGACUCGACUCGACUCGAAUUCAAAAUUCAAAACUCAAACUCAAACUCGAAACUUUUUGAACCUUUGAUCUCAAAUCAGGUAGGACUACCCGCUGAACUUAA
RNAcentral lists this unclassified non-coding RNA (401 nucleotides) under uncultured fungus. RNAcentral describes it as "partial contains 5.8S ribosomal RNA, internal transcribed spacer 2, and large subunit ribosomal RNA". The record is from RNAcentral. Lineage: Eukaryota; Fungi.